Herpailurus yagouaroundi (jaguarundi) is the source of this 1790-nucleotide long non-coding RNA. RefSeq lists it as uncharacterized. The record is from RefSeq and is a predicted model, not a curated record. Lineage: Eukaryota; Metazoa; Chordata; Mammalia; Carnivora; Felidae. The transcript has 2 exons.
AGCAGAGUUUGGAGGGAUGAAAAAUGCAGAAUCCAUAGUAGAGUGUAGAGAAAAAAAAAGUCUAAGUUCCGUUUGAGCAAAUACAAAAAAAUUGAUGCCUUUGAAAGAAGUAGAGAGCAUCUGGAUAAGACAGAAGAAAAAAAGUUUGUCUACUUAAUAUUUUAUCAUAAAAGAAUGGGGGGGUGGGGCCAGGGAAGGUAGUAUUUUAGCUUGCCUGGGGGUCCUGUAUAAUAGCUCUAAGCAGACAUAUGGUCAAUGGCCACAAUGAAUAAAAUAUGCAGCCAUAAUGAAGCAAUAUUUUAAAAUUCCCAUCUGAGAUACUGAUUCAUUUGUAUGUAAUUCAGACUUUAAGACUUGAGAUGGUUAUUCUUGCUGAGCUCAAGAACACACAUUCCAACCUUUGUAAAUUUAGUUAGUGAUAUGUGUAGGAGUUAAAUCUUUCUAAUAUUUUGAAGUGAAGACGCUGAUAUUAAGAGUAUAAUAAGUCUAGGUAUUAAAGCCACACAUCCAAAAGUAAGAGAGCUAGUUGCUCAGUCUUGAGAAGGCAUAAUUUGAUUCACAUAUUUGGUAAUGAUUGCUUAAAUAUGUUAGAGACUUUUGUAAAAAGAAUUAGCAACUGAGGUGUAUCCCACAGGGAUGCCUUGCAAGUUCUCCCCCUACAGUAUAGCCCAGAGCUUUUAUUAGAUGUCUAUGCUCUUAUAACUGGUUCUGAAUUGAACUAUGGUUAAUUUGUCCCUUAGCCUAUUUGUUCUCUAAAAAGUUUGUAACCUAGAAUAAUAAAAUUGGCUUUACUGACUCACUUUCUAUUUUCCACUCUCUUUAGGGUUUUGUCCUAACAUCUCCAGUUCAAAAAAAGAAUAAAUUUAUGCAGGGCUUGAGUUAGGGAACAGCUGGUAUUGAAAAUGUUUCUCUUCUUUAAGCCCUCUCCCUUCCUUAUCCAAACAGAGAAAAGACAGAUCUGUUUUUUCCUACUCAAAAGGAGCGGAAUGAAAUCCAAGUCCUCCAAAAAAGAGACGGAAUGCUGUUCUACCUCACUACUCACUCCUACUUCAAACUUUAACUGUUGGACUCACAUCAUUUUUUGAAUGUUAAGCCAUUUUUCAAAGGCAUUAGAUUCCCAAGAGACCACUAAGUUAUGAACACUGAAGACAACCCAGGGUGUUCGCGCCAUCGCAAACGGCACUCUUUUGACCCCCCUAUCUUCCCAAAGAAGUUUGGGAAGACCUGAGCUGUUGAGAAGUUGCCAGUUAAGAAGUCAGUUUGGAAGCCACUUUCAACCAAAGUUGUGUAAUCAGAACUGUUGGUCUUAAGUAUGUGUUUGAGCAAUGUAUUAAAUGGCAUUAACAUGGACAGUAAAAACUUUGCAUUAUUUUCUUCCCUGGGGGCAUAUAAUGCAAAACUUCAUUGACUGGAGCCAGUUUGGUAAAUGGGGCAGAAAAUGCCUGUAGAACUGAUGUAAUGUUAUGAAGAAAGUGGAGCAUAAGAGGGCAUAUAAACUCCUAAUAGUAUUGUUUCCUAGAUUUUCCUUGUGCAGCAAAGUGGAUAUUCUCGCUGCUUUUAAGGGAACAGCCCGAUCACAAUUAAGGCACCAGUGUGUAUGUUUCCUGGCACACACAUGACUAUGGGGCACAGAUUAGAAUUCAUUUCAUCAAGCUUUAAUUUCAUGUUCAGCCCCUUAAAAGUUCCAUAUCUUUUAAAUAUGCUGCCAGCAACCUGUUAUCUGGUAUAAUGAAAAGCAGUGUAACCACUCACCAAAUAAAAUCCCACAUAAAAUCUAAACCUCAGCUUCA